UACGUAGGUGGCGAGCGUUGUCCGGAUUUAUUGGGCGUAAAGGGCGCGUAGGUGGUGGCUUAAGCGUGCGGUGAAAGCUCGGAGCUCAACUCCGAGUCGGCCGUGCGAACUGGGCUCACUGGAGCAUAGUAGAGGCAGGUGGAAUUCCGGGUGUAGCGGUGGAAUGCGUAGAGAUCCGGAAGAACACCGGUGGCGAAGGCGGCCUGCUGGGCAGUUACUGACACUGAGGCGCGACAGCGUGGGGAGCAAACAGG
Molecule: ribosomal RNA, 254 nt
Filed under: uncultured bacterium
Lineage: Bacteria
Description: partial 16S ribosomal RNA
Rfam family: Bacterial small subunit ribosomal RNA
Source: RNAcentral